RNAcentral lists this ribosomal RNA (535 nucleotides) under uncultured bacterium. RNAcentral describes it as "bacterial SSU rRNA". It matches the Rfam family "Bacterial small subunit ribosomal RNA", at positions 37 to 605 of the family's 1533-position model. The record is from RNAcentral.
UGGCGGCGCGCUUACACAUGCAAGUCGAGCGAGAAAGGGGAGCAAUCCCUGAGUAAAGCGGCGUACGGGUGAGUAACACGUGGGUAAUCUACCUUUUAGUGGGGAAUAACCCUGGGAAACCGGGGCUAAUACCGCAUAAUCCUGUGAAGGGAAAGCAGCAAUGCGCUGAAAGAGGAGCCCGCGGCCGAUUAGCUAGUUGGUGGGGUAACGGCUCACCAAGGCGAUGAUCGGUAGCCGGCCUGAGAGGGCACACGGCCACACUGGCACUGAAACACGGGCCAGACUCCUACGGGAGGCAGCAGUGGGGAAUCUUGCACAAUGGAGGCAACUCUGAUGCAGCGACGCCGCGUGAGCGAUGAAGCCCCUCGGGGUGUAAAGCUCUUUCGGCAGGGACGAUAAUGACGGUACCUGAAGAAGAAGCUGCGGCUAACUACGUGCCAGCAGCCGCGGUAAUACGUAGGCAGCGAGCGUUGUUCGGAAUUACUGGGCGUAAAGAGUGUGUAGGCGGUGCUCUAAGUUCGGUGUGAAAUCUCCU